RNAcentral lists this ribosomal RNA (484 nucleotides) under uncultured bacterium. RNAcentral describes it as "partial 16S ribosomal RNA". It matches the Rfam family "Bacterial small subunit ribosomal RNA", at positions 30 to 507 of the family's 1533-position model. The record is from RNAcentral.
AUUGAACGCUGGCGGCAGGCCUAACACAUGCAAGUCGAGCGGAUGAAGGGAGCUUGCUCCUGGAUUCAGCGGCGGACGGGUGAGUAAUGCCUAGGAAUCUGCCUGGUAGUGGGGGAUAACGUCCGGAAACGGGCGCUAAUACCGCAUACGACCCGAGGGAGAAAGAGGGGGAUCUUCGGACCUCAUGCUAUCAGAUGAGCCUAGGUCGGAUAAGCUAGUUGGUGGGGUAAAGGCUUACCAAGGCGACGAUCCGUAACUGGUCUGAGAGGAUGAUCAGUCACACUGGUGCUGAGACGCGCUCCAGCCUCCUACGGGAGGCAGCGUUGGGGAAUAUUGGACAAUGGGCGAAAGCCUGAUCCAGCCAUGCCGCGUGUGUGAAGAAGGUCUUCGGAUUGUAAAGCACUUUAAGUUGGGAGGAAGGACAGUAAGUUAAUACCUUGCUGUUUUGACGUUACCAACAGAAUAAGCACCGGCUAACUUCGUG